AACGAACGCUGGCGGCAUGCCUAACACAUGCAAGUCGAACGAGACCGCCGGGUUUAGUGUCGCACGGGUGCGUAACGCGUGGGAACAUGCCCUUAGGCUCGGAAUAACGUCCCGAAAGGGGUGCCAAUACCGGAUAAUGUCUUCCGACCGAAGAUUUAUUGAGAUUGGAUGGGCCCGCGGUGGAUUACAUAGUUGGUAGGGGAAAAGGCUCCAAAGGGGACGAUCGAUAGCUGGUCUGAGAGGAUGCGCAGCCACACUGGGACUGGGACACGGCCCGGACUCCUACGGGAGGCAGCAGUGGGGAAUAUUGGACAGCGGGCGGAAGGAUGAUCCAGCUAUGGCGGGUGAGUGAUGAAGGCCUUAGGGUUGUAAAGCUCUUUUACCCGGGAUGAUAAUGACGUUACCGGAAGAAUAAGCUCCGGCUAACUCCGUG
Molecule: ribosomal RNA, 433 nt
Filed under: uncultured bacterium
Lineage: Bacteria
Description: partial 16S ribosomal RNA
Rfam family: Bacterial small subunit ribosomal RNA
Source: RNAcentral